This 947-nucleotide unclassified non-coding RNA is filed under the name Hermetia illucens (black soldier fly). RNAcentral's name for it is "trypsin-2-like, transcript variant X1". Lineage: Eukaryota; Metazoa; Arthropoda; Insecta; Diptera; Stratiomyidae. The record is from RNAcentral.
UUUAAGAAAAUCGAGUUGACUUAGGCGUUCCUUUUAGAAAUUCAAUUCCAAAUUUGAAUUUAUUGGGCCCAGGCUUGAUUUAAGCAAUUUAUUUUAAAUUAUUUUAUUUUGGUUUUAGGAAAAAUUAUUAUAAUGAUAUUUUUAAGAUGUUUUGCUCUCAUGUUAUUUUCACUGCUCGAAAUUCAAGCUCGCGUUUGUUCUGGAUGGUAUGCUAGACUGGGCCAGUUCCCUUCCGUAGUAUCCAUUCAUCGGCAUCAAGUCUUCUGUAAUGGAGUUAUCGUUCACUUACGAUAUGUGCUGUCAACAGCUCAUUGUUUUGACGACAUGAAGGAAUAUGACCAAUAUACAGUUGCCGCCGGUGUAUUGAAGGUGCCGACAGGUGAAUCAGUGCAACAAGUACGCCGUAUAAUUAAUGUAACAAGAUAUGAUGAAUACAAUGAGAAAUCGAGAAAAAAUGAUUACGUCCUUUUGAGGUUGGAUAAACCAUUUGUGAAAACGGAGCGUGUAUACCCUCUCCCAGUUGGUUUCCUACACGGAGACGGUAUAACAAACUGCCAAACUGCUGUAUGGGGAGUAAACACAAAAAAUCAGCAGUAUACUUUAAAAUACAUAAACGUAAAGGAGCUGGACUUUAAAAUAUGCUCCUCAGUUUAUCCUGGUCAAUACGCUGGGGCGAAGUUUUGUGCGGGAGCAACAGGUGGAGUAGAUGACAUGUGCCAAUGGGGAGAAUUGCGGUAAAGAAGGACAUUAUGCCGUUUACUGGUAUUCCUACCUCCUUAGGUGGUGGGUUCAGGCAAAGAUAAAAGAACGGGAUCAACUGUGUGGCAAAUUAUUCAGAAGUGGGACUUUGGGUACAUACCCCGGACUUACUUUGCCGAUUUAUAUUACUUUGCAUGUCUUUAACUUGAAUUAAUGUUACUAUUGAAUAAAUAUAAAUUUUAUAUCUA